This is a long non-coding RNA of Ficedula albicollis (Collared flycatcher), 1883 nucleotides long. Lineage: Eukaryota; Metazoa; Chordata; Aves; Passeriformes; Muscicapidae. The record is from Ensembl.
GGAGGGCACUGAUGGCAGGGGAAGGAACACAAAAAGGACAAACAGCUCCUGGGAAAUGGAGGCUGGGAGCUGUGGGAACUCCUGGAUCUCCUGGAUCUCUGCAGAAAACUACUUGGCUUCUCUGUACUGUGCUCCAUUUUUUGGGGGUCCAACUUGAACACUUCCAGAGGUGGAGCAGACAUCCAUCAGACAAAGCAGCAAUUUGUACUACAGUGGGGUAAACACAGGGCUCUGGCUUCUACAUCUCCCUCAAGGAAUAAAAACAAAAAACCCCACAAACCUGUGCCUUACUGGGAAACAGUUUUUCUUCUGGAGAUCCUUGAAGGACACUUGUGCAGCUUCAAGCACAUGGAGUGUCCUGGCUGUGCUGCCAGCAGUUGGCAAUGCUGUGGUUUCACAAUGGGGGAGGCUGUGGCAAUCCUGAAUUAAAAUUCUGUUCUGCUCUCCUCCAACUCUUUUUCCUCCUCACUUGUGCUGGUCCAGCUGUCUGUGAUUCCACGUGGCACAUGGCAUUGGAGAAAUGUGUGGAAAAGUGACACAGCCAGGAGGGAAGAGCCCUGCAGGCUGAGUCAGCAUCUGGGGUGUUACAUGUGGCAUCGAGGCUUGGAGUAAAUUAACUCCCAGGGAGGAUUUGUGAGGUGAAAAUCCACAUGGAGCAGCUGGAGAGAGUCCAGAGGAAACCCUGGAACUGCUCCUAAGGCUGGAGCCAGGCUGGGAGAGCUGGGGGUGCUCACCUGGAGAAGAGAAGGAUCCAGGGAGAGCUCAGAGCCCCUGGCAGAGCCUGAAGGGGCUCCAGGAGAGCUGGAGAGGGACUGGGGACAAGGGAUGGAGGGACAGGACACAGGGAAUGGCUCCCACUGCCAGAGGGCAGGGAUGGAUGGGAUAUUGGGAAGGAAUUUCUGGCUGGGAGGGUGGGGAGGCCCUGAGGGUGCCCAGAGAAGCUGCGAGCUAAAAGUAGAAGAGAGCAGACACAACCUGGAUCCACUGCCACGUUACAGGAACCUGCACUGAGCACCUGUGGGACUGUCAGAGGGACUAAAGGCAGCUGCUCUGCCCCAGUCCCACACUGUGGGCAGAGCCUUGUCCCCUGUAGAGCAGGGGACCAAAGGGACAGCACGUCCCUGAUGUGUCCUAAAGGCUGGGAAGAGCCCCUGAGCUCUCCAAGCAGGGUGGGUGGUGAGGGUUUGCAGGUUCAGCAGGGCAGAGAACACAGAACCCUCAUGUGGGGGACGGGGUGGGAGAGAAAUCAAGCCCCAGGCUCUGGGAGAGGCUGCAGCAGAAAGUUUUGAAGGAGCAGCAGUUCUGGAUGUGGGUCCAGGGCAAGGGAGAGAAGGAAGCAGCGGUGGAGAGUGGGGACAGUGACAAGAACACUCGUGGAGCUCCUGCAGCGAUGGCACCAUGCUGCCUCUGAGAGGAAGGAUGUUGGAAUGUCUCCUGAGUUCUUCCCCUUGAUUCCUAUUUCCCGUAUUCCCCCAUUAGCCUGUUUCUGACCUCAGGGUGGCUUUUCAUGUUUGCAGUCCUUUGGACAAGGAUUUAUGUUUAAAAAAUACCCAAAAUCAGGCAACGAACCAACCCACAAAACCUUAAAAUCUGGAUAACGUGAAAAAUAUAGAACAUACAAACUCUUCAGUAGCCUGUGACCCUCCCUCUCUCCCUGGAGCACUUAUGGGCACAUCUGAUGAUACACAUGGAGAUUCUGUGAGCAGGACUGGAACAGGCUGCCCAAGGAAGCAGUGGAAUUAUUACCCUUGGAAGUUCCAAAGGUGUGUGGAUGUGACACUUGGGGACAUGGUUUAGUGAUGGAUUUGGCAGUGCUGGGGAACAGUUGGAGUUGAUGAUCUUAAAGGGCUUUUCUAAAUGAAAUAAUUUCAGGACACAAACAG